CCAAUAGCGUAUAUUAAAGUUGUUGCAGUUAAAAAGCUCGUAGUUGAAUUUCGGGAUCGAGGGAUCGGUCAUGCCUUGGUAUGUACUGGUUUCAUCGGUUCUCACCUUCUAAAGAACCAUAAUGUCAUUCAUUUGAUGUUAUGGGGAAUUAGGACUGUUACCUUGAAAAAAUUAGAGUGUUUAAAGCAGGCUUACGCUUGAAUACAUUAGCAUGGAAUAAUGAAAUAGGACAUCAGAUUCUAUUUUGUUGGUUUCUAGGAUCGAUGUAAUGAUUAAUAGGGGUAGUUAGGGGCAUUAGUAUUCAAUUGUCAGAGGGGAAAUUCUUGGAUUUAUUGAAGACUAACUACUGCGAAAGCAUUUGCCAAGGAUGUUUUCAUUAAUCAAGAACGAAAGUUAGGGGAUCGAAGACGAUCAGAUACCGUCGUAGUCUUAACCAUAAACUAUGCCGACUAGGGAUCGGAUGAUGUUAAUUUUAUAAUGACUCAUUCGGCACCUUACG
Molecule: ribosomal RNA, 499 nt
Filed under: uncultured Glomeromycotina
Lineage: Eukaryota; Fungi; Glomeromycota
Description: partial small subunit ribosomal RNA
Rfam family: Eukaryotic small subunit ribosomal RNA
Source: RNAcentral